AUGUUGAAAUGCCAGCUGGUUGAAGAUGAGCUUAUCGACCAUGAGGUGAUGUCAGUCAUUAUCAGAAGGUAUUGUCAGUCUGACCAGGAAGCAGAUAAACACUCACCAUACUUAACUUGGAGGCACCCAAUUGAACCAGAAUUCUCGACGCUUGUACUAUUGGAUCAUGAUUUCCUACAUACGGUGUCAAUGCAGAAAGCAUUGUGUGCCGACUCACUCAAAUAUGACAUCACAUCAGCUCAGCUGUUCUUCACCCCCGUUCCACGGCCUAAAGGAUGGAUUGUAGUUUUCUGGGACAUGGUAGCCCGCCUCAUGUUUGUAAUUGAUCCAAUGUACAGCAAGAGAAGCCAACCCUUGACCACUCAGCAGAGAGAUGAGAUUACAGCUUGGAAGCUACAUGAUGCCUUGUUUAUUUGCUUAAAUGAGUAUUAUGCUGGCUGGCCUGUGAGGAAAGAUGGAUGGAAAGUCACGUUCCCCGCACUUGUUGAUAGCAUUUUUUCUCGUAAUGAGACUGGAGCUUGCGUCGUCCAUAUAGCCCGCCAUUUCGAUGGGAAAAAGCUGAAGAUGCCCCUCACCAAGGGUUUCCGACGAUGCGCAUUCAGUGGGAGGAGACGUUCCCGUCGACGACGAGGUGUCUACGGUGACUUCAUAAAUUUCAAAAUGAUAUGCCGGUUAAGUCUUUCGAAGGUGCUCAUAGGGGUAAGGUGUGCGUGUGUGCGUUUAUAG
This 726-nucleotide ribosomal RNA is filed under the name Triticum aestivum (bread wheat). Its description in RNAcentral is "partial small subunit ribosomal RNA". The record is from RNAcentral. Lineage: Eukaryota; Viridiplantae; Streptophyta; Magnoliopsida; Poales; Poaceae.